GACGAACGCUGGCGGCGUGCUUAACACAUGCAAGUCGAACGGAAAGGCCCUGCUUUUGUGGGGUGCUCGAGUGGCGAACGGGUGAGUAGCACGUGAGUAACCUGCCCUUGACUUUGGGAUAACUUCAGGAAACUGGGGCUAAUACCGGAUAGGAGCUCCUGCUGCAUGGUGGGGGUUGGAAAGUUUCGGCGGUUGGGGAUGGACUCGCGGCUUAUCAGCUUGUUGGUGGGGUAGUGGCUUACCAAGGCUUUGACGGGUAGCCGGCCUGAGAGGGUGACCGGCCACAUUGGGACUGAGAUACGGCCCAGACUCCUACGGGAGGCAGCAGUGGGGAAUAUUGCACAAUGGGCGGAAGCCUUAUGCAGCAACGCCGCGUGCGGGAUGACGGCCUUCGGGUUGUAAACCGCUUUCGCCUGUGACGAAGCGUGAGUGACGGUAAUGGGUAAAGAAGCACCGGCUAACUACGUG
This 468-nucleotide ribosomal RNA is filed under the name uncultured bacterium. Its description in RNAcentral is "partial 16S ribosomal RNA". It matches the Rfam family "Bacterial small subunit ribosomal RNA", at positions 28 to 507 of the family's 1533-position model. The record is from RNAcentral.